Molecule: ribosomal RNA, 517 nt
Filed under: uncultured bacterium
Lineage: Bacteria
Description: bacterial SSU rRNA
Rfam family: Bacterial small subunit ribosomal RNA
Source: RNAcentral
GAGUUUGAUCCUGGCUCAGGAUGAACGCUGGCGGCGUGCUUAACACAUGCAAGUCGAACGGGAAACCUUUUCAUUGAAGCUUCGGCAGAUUUGGUCUGUUUCUAGUGGCGGACGGGUGAGUAACGCGUGGGUAACCUGCCUUAUACAGGGGGAUAACAGUCAGAAAUGACUGCUAAUACCGCAUAAGCGCACAGGACCGCAUGGUCCGGUGUGAAAAACUCCGGUGGUAUAAGAUGGACCCGCGUUGGAUUAGCUAGUUGGCGAGGUAACGGCCCACCAAGGCGACGAUCCAUAGCCGGCCUGAGAGGGUGAACGGCCACAUUGGGACUGAGACACGGCCCAGACUCCUACGGGAGGCAGCAGUGGGGAAUAUUGCACAAUGGGGGAAACCCUGAUGCAGCGACGCCGCGUGAAGGAAGAAGUAUCUCGGUAUGUAAACUUCUAUCAGCAGGGAAGAAAAUGACGGUACCUGACUAAGAAGCCCCGGCUAACUACGUGCCAGCCGCCGCGGUAAUUC